GUGGGUAUGGUCUAGUGGCUAUGACGCGGGCCUGUGGCGCCCGAGAUCCGGGUUCAAUUCCCGGUACCCACU
This 72-nucleotide transfer RNA is filed under the name Candidatus Woesearchaeota archaeon. RNAcentral describes it as "tRNA-His". It matches the Rfam family "tRNA". From Rfam's summary of the family: Transfer RNA (tRNA) molecules are approximately 80 nucleotides in length. Their secondary structure includes four short double-helical elements and three loops (D, anti-codon, and T loops). Lineage: Archaea; Nanobdellati; Candidatus Woesearchaeota. The record is from RNAcentral.